UUAAGUUCAGCGGGUAUCCCUACCUGAUCCGAGGUCAAACUUGGGUGUGUCUUCGUGGACGCCCCGCGCGGGGGGUCUUGCGAGGCGCGAGUCUGCUGCGCUCGAAGCCGAUCACGCGGGCCGCCAAUGCUUUUGAGGCGAGUCCGCGCCCCCCGAAGAGGGGCGGGACAAGGCGCCCAACACCAAGCAGUGCUUGAGGG
RNAcentral lists this unclassified non-coding RNA (200 nucleotides) under Lophiostoma sp. Its description in RNAcentral is "partial internal transcribed spacer 2". Lineage: Eukaryota; Fungi; Ascomycota; Dothideomycetes; Pleosporales; Lophiostomataceae. The record is from RNAcentral.